RNAcentral lists this ribosomal RNA (254 nucleotides) under uncultured bacterium. RNAcentral's name for it is "partial 16S ribosomal RNA". It matches the Rfam family "Bacterial small subunit ribosomal RNA", at positions 524 to 776 of the family's 1533-position model. The record is from RNAcentral.
UACGUAGGGUGCGAGCGUUGUCCGGAAUUAUUGGGCGUAAAGAGCUCGUAGGCGGUGUGUCACGUCGGCCGUGAAAACCUGCAGCUUAACUGUGGGCGUGCGGUCGAUACGGGCAUCACUGGAGUUCGGCAGGGGAGACUGGAAUUCCUGGUGUAGCGGUGAAAUGCGCAGAUAUCAGGAGGAACACCGGUGGCGAAGGCGGGUCUCUGGGCCGUAACUGACGCUGAGACACGAAAGCGUGGGUAGCAAACAGG